UUGGAGGAGGGUGCGUCCUUCUGGAAC
This 27-nucleotide non-coding RNA is filed under the name Homo sapiens (human). Lineage: Eukaryota; Metazoa; Chordata; Mammalia; Primates; Hominidae. The record is from RNAcentral.